RNAcentral lists this long non-coding RNA (248 nucleotides) under Phaseolus vulgaris (common bean). RNAcentral describes it as "long non-coding RNA (PVUL_LNC001134)". The record is from RNAcentral. Lineage: Eukaryota; Viridiplantae; Streptophyta; Magnoliopsida; Fabales; Fabaceae.
UGAAAUUUGGGCAAGUUUUGGGAGUGAAAAGAAGUUUGGGCUAUUAAAAAUGUAGGCUGGUUUGCAUAAAUUUGGGCUUAACUGUUGAUUUUGUUAACUUUAUUUUUUUCCAGGGCAAUUCAGAUAACUUAUUUAAUGUAAAUAAUUAAAAUUGAUUUGAGGUAUUAAGUAUUAUUGUUUUCGUCGGUUCUCUGGUGAUAAACUUUAGCUUCGGUUGUCUUUUCUGAAAUCCGUUAUACCUCUUAUUG